GCCAGACUCCUACGGGAGGCAGCAGUGGGGGAUAUUGCACAAUGGGGGGAACCCUGAUGCAGCGACGCCGCGUGGGUGAAGAAGUAUUUCGGUAUGUAAAGCCCUAUCGGCAGGGAAGAAAUUGGACGGUACCUGACUAAGAAGCCCUGGCUAACUACGUGCCAGCCGCCGCGGUAAUACGUAGGGGGCAAGCGUUAUCCGGAUUCACUGGGUGUAAAGGGAGCGUAGACGGCCAUGCAAGCCUGGGGGGAAAGCCCGGGGCCCAACCCCGGGACUGCUCUGGGAACUGUGCGGCUGGAGUGCGGGAGGGGCAGGCGGAAUUCCUGGUGUAGCGGUGAAAUGCGUAGAUAUCAGGAGGAACACCGGUGGCGAAGGCGGCCUGCUGGACUGCAACUGACGUUGAGGCCCGAAAGCGUGGGGAGCAAACAGGAUUAGAUACCCGUGUAA
This 447-nucleotide ribosomal RNA is filed under the name uncultured bacterium. RNAcentral describes it as "bacterial SSU rRNA". It matches the Rfam family "Bacterial small subunit ribosomal RNA", at positions 330 to 793 of the family's 1533-position model. The record is from RNAcentral.